RNAcentral lists this unclassified non-coding RNA (870 nucleotides) under Hevea brasiliensis (rubber tree). The record is from RNAcentral. Lineage: Eukaryota; Viridiplantae; Streptophyta; Magnoliopsida; Malpighiales; Euphorbiaceae.
GAUUGAUUCAGUUGAUCCUUGGGGUCAACCAUAUAUGGCAGUCUGCGGAGUUCCCAGCCACACAAGCUAAUGAGCUUUUGUACCUGAUAAUAUGUGAGAGAAGAAACUGAAGUGGGUGCAUUUCUGGUUUCUUCUUGGGGAGUGUGCAUGGAUUCAUCAUGUUCCACAGUUAAAGAUUCUCGUAAAAAUUGUUCCAGCUGAGGGUUUCUCAAGAAAUCAAUGGCCUUGGGUGAAAUCACAGGAAGAGCAGCAAGCUGCGAUAGAACAGAAUGCCGAAUUUUAUACUGAUCAACAAGCAUAACAGUAGCCGUAGGUGGAAAAUCUGCUAGUUUUUCAUCGCAGACAUUGUCAAUCCAAGGGCAAAGUAGCUUGUGUCCACUAUCUAGCUUCAAGCUGAACACCAAGGCUGCUUUGUCAACUUGUUGUUGUGCCCAAGAUGGCGGAGUAGUGAAGAGCAUUCGUGAUCCACAUGCUUCACAGGCAAUGGUAUCCAUAUCCACAUUGAUCCAACCCCUUCUAGCACAGUUAACAGCACUGAUUGCCUGUGGUUUAGCAAACCAAGUCAUAGACUUAAAAGUUGACAUCCUUGUAAACAAAUCAUCUCGGUCCCAUGGUCUACACGGCGGAGCUUCCCCUGAACCUUUCGUAGCUAAUAAAUUGUACUUGCUAACUGCUUUGCCGAUUGAUGACAUAUCCAGACGCUCCUUGUCUCUUGACAAUUGAACUCCAGAUGCACUGGAAUUGAGUUUGGAUUUAGGAGGAGUUCGAAAGAUCUUAUCCAUGGCAUCUUGAAAUCGCUUCUGUGAUUCUUCAGCCAUUUUUUCAGUGUCUAAAUUUGUUCAUGCCUCUGAGCUGCCGAGCACUUGCUUU